GGAGAGCGUACACAGGUGCUGCAUGGCUGUCGUCAGCUCGUGUCGUGAGAUGUUGGGUUAAGUCCCGCACGAGCGCAACCCCUGCAUUCAGUUGCCAUCGGGUGAAGCCGGGCACUCUGGAAGGACUGCCAUCGACAAGAUGGAGGAAGGUGGGGACGACGUCAAGUCAUCAUGGCCCUUAUGUCCAGGGCGACACACGUGCUACAAUGGCCGGCACAACGGGAAGCGAGUUCGCGAGGACGAGCGGAUCCCUUAAAGCCGGUCGCAGUUCGGAUUGAAGUCUGCAACUCGACUUCAUGAAGCUGGAAUCGCUAGUAAUCGCAGAUCAGCCAAGCUGCGGUGAAUACGUUCCCGGGCCUU
This 360-nucleotide ribosomal RNA is filed under the name uncultured Synergistaceae bacterium. RNAcentral's name for it is "bacterial SSU rRNA". It matches the Rfam family "Bacterial small subunit ribosomal RNA", at positions 1023 to 1382 of the family's 1533-position model. Lineage: Bacteria; Thermotogati; Synergistota; Synergistia; Synergistales; Synergistaceae. The record is from RNAcentral.